Molecule: ribosomal RNA, 276 nt
Filed under: uncultured Porphyromonadaceae bacterium
Lineage: Bacteria; Pseudomonadati; Bacteroidota; Bacteroidia; Bacteroidales; Porphyromonadaceae
Description: partial 16S ribosomal RNA
Rfam family: Bacterial small subunit ribosomal RNA
Source: RNAcentral
UGAGGAAUAUUGGUCAAUGGGCGCAGGCCUGAACCAGCCAAGUCGCGUGAGGGAGGACGGUCCUACGGAUUGUAAACCUCUUUUGUCGGGGAGUAACGUGCGGGACGCGUCCCGUAUUGAGAGUACCCGAAGAAAAGCAUCGGCUAACUCCGUGCCAGCAGCCGCGGUAAUACGGAGGAUGCGAGCGUUAUCCGGAUUUAUUGGGUUUAAAGGGUGCGCAGGCGGCGCGCCAAGUCAGCGGUCAAAGUUCCGGGCUCAACCCGGUGUCGCCGUUUG